CUCUAAAACAUAUGAUUCUAGAGUUUGUUGUGCCUCGUGUCUUGGUUCCUUCCUCAUUUCUUCAUGCACCUCCAUUUUCAUUCCAUUUAUAUAGUAAAAAACAACACUCAUUGCACAUAUCGAAUUACACAAAACCCUAAAAAUCUUCACUCUGUACAUUGUUCAAAACCAGAGAGAGAUUCAAGAACUGUGAUCUUCGUUGUGAACAUUUCUAUAGGGUUUGAUUCUGUACCACUGAACAGAUUUUUCCUUGCUUGUCCUCCAAGUGUGUGACUAUUCGAUUUUUAAGCUCAAAUAGAGCUAUAAUUAGGAAUUUUCAGUGUACAUUGAUGGUGCUGAUGGAUUGAGAGGUUGAUUUAUUAGACAUUCAAGUGUUAGAUUUUAGGUUUUAGAGUUGAAAGUAGAAGUUGCUAGUGAGACACAUUUUCAGUAGGUUUUUUUUUUCUUCUUCUUCGUUUCCCAAGGGUUUGAUGUGGUUUCACUUAAUUCCGACCUUGCCAGUAAGCUUUGACCUUCAAAGGUUUUUUUUUCUUCUUCUUCGUUUCCCAAGGGUUUGAUAAUGAUUACAAAAAUUGAAGGUCAAAGCUUACUGGCAAGUCGGAAUUAAGUGAAACCACAAAAGAAUUUAAGAAGUAAUUUUAUUUACUCUUUUUUUGUUCUUUAUUUAUGUUUGAAGCUAGUUUUUUUUAUGAUUUUUUGUUGUAUGAACAAUUUUUCUUUUCUGCUAUCUUUUACUCUUUGGAUAUAUGCAAAGAGUUACCAAGUGGAUUUGACCGGUCAAUUUUAGAGUAAGACUCUGCUAUACUUGCUUCUUCUUCUUCUUUUUUAUUAUAUAUUUUUUUCUCCCUCUCUCUCUUGUUAUUGUUGUUGUUGCUAAGUUUAUUUUGUUAUUGUUGGUGUCUUCAUAGUUUCUGAAAUAUUUAAAAUCCAUGAUUUUUCAUCUAAAUUUUUGGUGUAUUAAUUAUUUCUGCUGACAUUUAGAAGCAUUUUUUUUUGUCAGAGUGUAUUUAGCAAGACUUUCUGUGUUACUAUAUAAUGUGUAUCAUUCAUAACAUUAACAACAUUUUUUCCCCUCUUUUUAUAAUGGUUCAGACAUUCGACAUUUUCAUAUACAAUAGAUUUUCUUUUGUCAUUUGGUGAGUUGGAUACUGGCAAAAGUUUACCUGGUAGAUUCGACCCAUUGAUUCUGUGCAAAUUUGAUGGGUUUUCCAGUAGCAUACUGGAAAAGCAAAUAGCACCAGUUAGUGUCUCAUUGAAUAGUUCUAGGGGUAGUAAAUAUGAUUUAUCAACGUCCACUAAAGGGGUUUGGGCAAGAAUUCUCAAGGACUAUGCGGAUUUGACCCAUCAGUUCUGUGCAAAAUUGAUGGCACUUCCAGUAGCAUACUGGAAAAGCAAAGAGCACCAGUUAGUGUUUCAUUGAAUAGUUCUGCGGGUAGUAAAUUUGAUUUAUCAACGUCCACUAAAUGGGGUUUGGGCAACAAUUCUCAAGGAUUGUGCGGAUUUGAUCCA
Long non-coding RNA from Cornus florida, 1509 nucleotides. RefSeq lists it as uncharacterized. The transcript is spliced from 3 exons. The record is from RefSeq and is a predicted model, not a curated record. Lineage: Eukaryota; Viridiplantae; Streptophyta; Magnoliopsida; Cornales; Cornaceae.